CGGGUCGUAGCUCAAUCGGUGGAGCACGGCAAAAGCGUUGCCGAGGAGCUGGUUCGAAUCCAGCCGACCCGACCA
RNAcentral lists this transfer RNA (75 nucleotides) under Streptomyces noursei. RNAcentral's name for it is "tRNA-Ala". It matches the Rfam family "tRNA". Rfam says of the family: Transfer RNA (tRNA) molecules are approximately 80 nucleotides in length. Their secondary structure includes four short double-helical elements and three loops (D, anti-codon, and T loops). Lineage: Bacteria; Bacillati; Actinomycetota; Actinomycetes; Kitasatosporales; Streptomycetaceae. RNAcentral also lists the same sequence under 8 other names. The record is from RNAcentral.